CCAUAGAGUAUACAUAAGUGUGGUCAUAAUUAAAGAUUGAUAAGUUGAAUAAAAUUUAUUUUAAAUUAUUAUUGAAAUGAUUGGUUUUGAAUAAGACAUAUGAUUAUGUACAUAAAUAUUUAAAAGAUAUUAAAAUUAUUGAAAUUAUAUUUUGAAAAUGAAUUAAUUAUGCUUUUACACUAAUUAAUAGUAAAUUAUAUUUUGACUAUUAUAUCUUAUAUUGUCACAUGAAUUAUCUAGUUAAAAUAUUUAUUACUUAUUAAUUAUCGAGCUCAUUAUCUCUUCUUUCUUCUCAAAUUUAGAUACUUAGUUGUGAAUAGAGGUAUUGCUUUAGAAGUGAAA
Molecule: long non-coding RNA, 342 nt
Filed under: Elaeis guineensis (African oil palm)
Lineage: Eukaryota; Viridiplantae; Streptophyta; Magnoliopsida; Arecales; Arecaceae
Description: long non-coding RNA (EGUI_LNC064794)
Source: RNAcentral